AGCAAGUCAGGCAGUCGCGGACGAGCGCCGAAAGGCACCGCCCGAGGAAAGUCCGGGCUUCACAGAGCGAGGAUAACGGCUAACGGCCGCCGGGGGCGACCCCAGGGAUAGUGCAACAGAAAAUAACCGCGUAUCGUCACGAUAUCAUAGGGGAGGGGCUUGCUCCUCCCGUAUUCGCCGACGACGCAAGGGUGGAAAGGUGAGGUAAGAGCUCACCGGGGUGGCGGAGACGUCACCGCCGUGUAAACCCUAUCCGAAGCAACACCGCGGAGGGACAAUAUGCUUGCUCGGCAGUCCCGUGGAGGUGGCACCGAGCCGCUGCGGCAACGCACGGCCAAGAUAGAUGACUGCCCAAUACAGAACCCGGCUUAUAGAUUUGCUCGC
Molecule: RNase P RNA, 384 nt
Filed under: uncultured Ruminococcus sp.
Lineage: Bacteria; Bacillati; Bacillota; Clostridia; Eubacteriales; Oscillospiraceae
Description: Bacterial RNase P class A
Rfam family: Bacterial RNase P class A
About the family: Ribonuclease P (RNase P) is a ubiquitous endoribonuclease, found in archaea, bacteria and eukarya as well as chloroplasts and mitochondria. Its best characterised activity is the generation of mature 5'-ends of tRNAs by cleaving the 5'-leader elements of precursor-tRNAs.
Source: RNAcentral